UUAAUGUGGCAGAAUAGUGCAAUAGACUUAAACCCUAUAAAUAAAUAAUUAAAUAUUUCAUUAAAAA
This 67-nucleotide transfer RNA is filed under the name Leptomyrmex pallens. Its description in RNAcentral is "tRNA-Leu". The record is from RNAcentral. Lineage: Eukaryota; Metazoa; Arthropoda; Insecta; Hymenoptera; Formicidae.